CAACCUCUAGUCUUCAGUAAUGAACCUGGACCCUCAGAAACAGAACAGAGAGCAGAGUCUCCAGUCCCCAGCUGUCUGUCUCUGAAGAGUGACGGGUCUAAAUACUGGCUUCCUCCAGUCUUCAGUAAUGAACCUGGACCCUCAGACACAAAACAGAGAGCAGAGUCUCCAGUCCCCAGCUGUCUGUCUCUGAAGAGUGACCGGUCUAAAGACUUUCCUCCAGACUUCAGUGAUGAACCUGGACCCUCAGACACAGAAGGGAAGAGGAGAAGUCCUGCCAGUCAGACCAGCUCUGUACG
Molecule: long non-coding RNA, 299 nt
Organism: Trematomus bernacchii (emerald rockcod)
Lineage: Eukaryota; Metazoa; Chordata; Actinopteri; Perciformes; Nototheniidae
Exons: 4
Source: RefSeq, a predicted model, not a curated record